RNAcentral lists this ribosomal RNA (253 nucleotides) under uncultured bacterium. Its description in RNAcentral is "partial 16S ribosomal RNA". It matches the Rfam family "Bacterial small subunit ribosomal RNA", at positions 524 to 776 of the family's 1533-position model. The record is from RNAcentral.
UACGAAGGGGGCUAGCGUUGCUCGGAAUCACUGGGCGUAAAGGGUGCGUAGGCGGGUCUUUAAGUCAGGGGUGAAAUCCUGGAGCUCAACUCCAGGACUGCCUUUGAUACUGAGGAUCUUGAGUUCGGGAGAGGUGAGUGGAACUGCGAGUGUAGAGGUGAAAUUCGUAGAUAUUCGCAAGAACACCAGUGGCGAAGGCGGCUCACUGGCCCGAUACUGACGCUGAUGCACGAAAGCUAGGGGAGCAAACAGG